Long non-coding RNA from Prunus dulcis (almond), 467 nucleotides. RefSeq lists it as uncharacterized. NCBI's taxonomy places the organism in Eukaryota, Viridiplantae, Streptophyta, Magnoliopsida, Rosales, Rosaceae. The record is from RefSeq and is a predicted model, not a curated record. The transcript has 2 exons.
CGGUAUCUUUUGUUAACAGGGAACUGAAAAAAUUGAAGGAGUUGCUCUACAUGGCUCUUACGGGACUAGAUUCAGUGCACAAGCAUUUACCAACAUGAAAAAACUGAGAUUUCCAAAAUCACUGAAGAAGGUGUAACCAUCUCUCAGCCCUACUCUUUGAAGACUUUCUGGGGUUUCUCUGCUUUCGAAAAUCCAACAUUGGGUGCUGAAGGAUCAUGGUAGUUGAAUAGAGGCAUGGCUUCUGAACUUGAAACAGCUAACUAGGAGCUAAGUUGAACUUUAAUGUGUUUCUACAGUUAUUGGAACCAAGAAUUUGUAACAGUGUUGACUCGAAUAUAGCUGGUUGGCUUUUGAGAAACAUUUUAGCUAUAAUACCCAUCGUUUUCUUAAAUUUGGUGUUGCAGCAUCCAACGAGUAUGAACUUAUUGUAGUGACACUUAAAGCAAUGUCUAUUUUCCUUUGAAUCA